RNAcentral lists this transfer RNA (73 nucleotides) under Chloroflexota bacterium. RNAcentral describes it as "tRNA-Trp". It matches the Rfam family "tRNA". Rfam says of the family: Transfer RNA (tRNA) molecules are approximately 80 nucleotides in length. Their secondary structure includes four short double-helical elements and three loops (D, anti-codon, and T loops). Further hydrogen bonds mediate the characteristic L-shaped molecular structure. tRNAs have two regions of fundamental functional importance: the anti-codon, which is responsible for specific mRNA codon recognition, and the 3' end, to which the tRNAs corresponding amino acid is attached (by aminoacyl-tRNA synthetases). tRNAs cope with the degeneracy of the genetic code in two manners: having more than one tRNA (with a specific anti-codon) for a particular amino acid; and 'wobble' base-pairing, i.e. permitting non-standard base-pairing at the 3rd anti-codon position. The record is from RNAcentral. Lineage: Bacteria; Bacillati; Chloroflexota.
AGGGGUAUAGCUCAGCUGGUAGAGCACUGGUCUCCAAAACCAGGUGUCGGGGGUUCGAGUCCCUCUGCCCCUG